RNAcentral lists this ribosomal RNA (253 nucleotides) under uncultured bacterium. RNAcentral describes it as "partial 16S ribosomal RNA". It matches the Rfam family "Bacterial small subunit ribosomal RNA", at positions 524 to 776 of the family's 1533-position model. The record is from RNAcentral.
AACGUAGGAGGCGAGCGUUAUCCGGAUUUACUGGGCGUAAAGCGCGUGUAGGCGGUUUGAUAAGUUGGAUGUGAAAGCUCCUGGCUUAACUGGGAGAGGUCGUUCAAAACUGUCAGACUUGAGAGUGGUAGAGGGAGGUGGAAUUCCGGGUGUAGUGGUGAAAUGCGUAGAUAUCCGGAGGAACACCAGUGGCGAAAGCGGCCUCCUGGACCAUUUCUGACGCUCAGACGCGAAAGCUAGGGUAGCAAACGGG